CGCUCGGUCUCCUGUCCGUGCGCUGCCACACCCAGAUCAGCUCCGCACGAUUCGCGCAACCCCAAACCCCCUCGCUCCAAUCUGUGGGCGCUGAAAGAAUCCCCACGAUCCCCUCGACCGAUUCUCGUAUCCACCCCUCAUUUUCCCCCUUGGAACCGAGAGCACGGACCCCGCCGAUCUCCGCCGCCUGAAGCUCCUCCGACGACGAACUGCACUGCGACCAGUAAGUCCUGGUUCUCACAGACCCUCUCAUUGAAUUCACUUAGACCUUACGCACCUCCUUCGCCUCCUUUUAUGCUCAGCACACUGCUGGUUCGAGCACCCCACAUCCACCCAA
Molecule: long non-coding RNA, 337 nt
Filed under: Triticum aestivum (bread wheat)
Lineage: Eukaryota; Viridiplantae; Streptophyta; Magnoliopsida; Poales; Poaceae
Description: long non-coding RNA (TAES_LNC012030)
Source: RNAcentral